CAGUAGCCGCGGUAAUACCGAGGGUGCGAGCGUUAAUCGGAUUUACUGGGCGUAAAGCGUGCGUAGGCGGCUUCUUAAGUCGGAUGUGAAAUCCCUGAGCUUAACUUAGGAAUUGCAUUCGAUACUGGGAAGCUAGAGUAUGGGAGAGGAUGGUAGAAUUCCAGGUGUAGUGGUGAAAUGCGUAGAGAUCUGGAGGAAUACCGAUGGCGAAGGCAGCCAUCUGGCCUAAUACUGACGCUGAGGUACGAAAGCAUGGGGAGCAAACAGGAUUAGAUACCCCAGUAGUCCCUGUCUCUUAUAC
This 301-nucleotide ribosomal RNA is filed under the name uncultured bacterium. RNAcentral describes it as "partial 16S ribosomal RNA". It matches the Rfam family "Bacterial small subunit ribosomal RNA", at positions 509 to 807 of the family's 1533-position model. The record is from RNAcentral.